GACGUAGGGCGCGAGCGUUGUCCGGAUUUAUUGGGCGUAAAGAGCUUGUAGGCGGUUUGUCGCGUCGUCCGUGGAAACUCACAGCUUAACUGUGAGCUUGCGGUCGAUACGGGCAGGCUAGAGUUCGGUAGGGGAGACUGGAAUUCCUGGUGUAGCGGUGAAAUGCGCAGAUAUCAGGAGGAACACCGAUGGCGAAGGCAGGUCUCUGGGCCGCUACUGACGCUGAGAAGCGAAAGCGUGGGGAGCGAACAGG
RNAcentral lists this ribosomal RNA (253 nucleotides) under uncultured bacterium. RNAcentral's name for it is "partial 16S ribosomal RNA". It matches the Rfam family "Bacterial small subunit ribosomal RNA", at positions 524 to 776 of the family's 1533-position model. The record is from RNAcentral.